RNAcentral lists this ribosomal RNA (391 nucleotides) under uncultured organism. RNAcentral's name for it is "bacterial SSU rRNA". It matches the Rfam family "Bacterial small subunit ribosomal RNA", at positions 45 to 433 of the family's 1533-position model. The record is from RNAcentral.
UGGAUGAGGCAUGCAAGUCGAACGCGAAAGUGCCCGCAAGGGUGCGAGUAGAGUGGCGAAAGGGUGAGUAAUGCUUGGAUGACCUGCCUUCGAGACGGGGACAACAGUUCGAAAGGACUGCUAAUACCCGAUGGUCCGUACCGGACACGUCCGGCGCGGUAAAUGGUUGAUUCCGCUCGAUGAGGGGUCCAAGUCCUAUCGGCUAGUUGGUGAGGUAACGGCUCACCAAGGCGAUGACGGGUAGCCGGACUGAGAGGUCGACCGGCCACAUGGGAACUGAGACACUGUCCUGACUCCUACGGGAGGCUGCAGUCGAGAAUCUUCUGCAAUGGGCGCAAGCCUGACAGAGCGACGCCGCGUGGAGGACGAAGGCCCUCGGGUUGUAAGCUCC